CCAAUUUAUUACAAAUCCGAGUCAUUUAGGUAGAUGGGGAAGGGAAGAUGGAAAUAUAGGAAAUAAAAGCAAGGAGUCUUUGUAGGAAGCAAGAGAGAGAUAGUCAUCACCAUGGAUUCCAGCAUUGCUUGUAGUGAAGACGUUGAUCUUCAGUAGUGAUGGGUCGUCAGGGGUUGUUGUUCGGUUGAUGAUGACAGUGAUUUCCAACAACAGUACAAUCUUAUUUAUAACUCCAAAAGUGGUUGAGUCAGCUCUCUUUUGAGUGACAGCUCAAAUCCAAAGUGGUUGAGUCAGCUCUCUUUGUAGUGCAAGCUUCUAGCUUUGGGAUCUCAGCAGAAACUUCUGUGUUCCCAUCUUCUAGGCCUUGCCAGCAGAUAAGAGGGAGCAGGGAGGUGCCCACCUGCAUCCUGUUUUUCAUAGUAUACGAUGGUAUCCUUCCCCAGUCUCCCAUACCAAGCUGGAGUUAUUUGGUCACAGGCCAGAUAUUCUGCUAGUAAACACUUCUGAGCACUCUCUUCAAAUGUAAAGCUGUCCACAAAGUGAUGCCGACUGCCACACAGCAACACCCACCUCUCAUCUCCCAGAUGAGUCAGAGUCUUAUUCCAAGAAAUGACUCAGAAAACAAACUUUGACCCAAGAACAAAGCUCGGAAAACCAUCACUAAGUUUGCAGAUGAUACCAAGCUGAGUGGUGAAGCUGAUACAAUAGAAGGAAUGGAUGUAAUUCAAAGGGACCUGGACAGGCUCUAAAAGUGGGUCCAUGAGAACCUGUUGAGGUUCAAGUAAGUCCAAGUGCAAGGUCCUGUACUAGAAUCAACUCAAUUCCAGAUAUUAGUAGAGACUGUGUGAUGAGCAGGUUGAAAGCAGCUUUGCAGAGAAGGACUUGGAAGUACUGGUGGAUGAAAAGCUCAGCAUGAGCCAGGAAUGUGCAUUCGCAGCACAGGUUGUGUCUGAAGCUGCAUUAAAAGAACCACAGCCAACAGGCUGAAAGAGGUGAUUAUUCACUUCUAUGAGGGCUGCUCUGAAAGUAAUGCCUCCUAUUUAAUUAUGUCGUUCUUGGCAUCAGAGGUGGAUGUUCACAGAAUCACAAAAUUGUAGGGGUUAGAAGGGACCUCUAAAGAUCGAGUCUAAUAGAUUUCCUGCAGCAAGUCACAUGUGAAGGCACCCAGUCUUGAAUAUUCCAUUACAUUUUGUUGCUGUGCUAAGGACAGAGGGGUGGUCUGACAAAAUGGUGUCUGACAUGCAAGUCCAUUUGAAGAAAAGGUGUGCAAUAGAAUUCCUCCAUGUGGAAAAAAAUGGGAUGCACUUCAACAAUGAUGCCGUCAUAGUAGCUGUGGAACAGUGAGUUUCCUCCACUGGUGCGGAUUUUUAUGAGUGAAGCAUGAAGGCUCUAAUUCAUGGCUGGCAGAAAUGCAUAGCUAACGGUGAUGAUUAUGUUGAAAAAAAGUGUUUUAUAGCUAAGAAUGUGCUCUAUCAAGUAGUGUUCUCAUGCUCUUUGUAGAUGUUGUAGUUUCCAUUGAAUUAAGUAACUUUCAGUGAAGGCUCCAAGGAGACCUUUAGCAGCCUUCUAGCAGUUACAGGAAGUAUGGGGAGGAACUCUCCAUCAAGGAAUGUUGUGACAGGACAAGGGAGAAAGAUUCAAAGUUAAGAGGGGAGAUUUAGAUUAGACGUAGGAAAUAAAUAUGAGGACAGUGAGACAUUGGAAGGCUGCUCAAAGAAGCUGUGGAUGUCCCAUCCCUGAAGACAUUCAAGGCUCAGGGCCCCGAGCAAUGUGAUCUAGUGGUUGCAGUCCUGCCCAUAGCAAGGGGAUUGGAACUAGAUGGUCUCUAAGGUCCCUUUCAACCCAAAGCUUAUUCUUUCAACAGUUGAAAUAAAAAUAAUUCACUAACAACCUGAAGCUCAGUGUAACUUAGCAAUUCUGUGAUUCUGUGAUCAGUAAUAACAAAAGUAUAUAAUUUGCUGUAAAAUACAAAGUGCAUUUUCUAAAUUGUUCAUUGCAGACCUUCAUUCCUCAAAUAUAAAGGCCUGCUCCUUCUAAAACUUAGAUGUAUGCUUAAUUUAAUGAACAAAAAAAAAAUCCUAUGUCCUGAAAUGUGUGCAUAUUUGCUGUUUAGCACUGCAUUGGAAAAUGUCAUUCAAAUGUUAAUUUUACUAGCAAACUAUAGUCAAAUUAUGACUAAUGUUAUAUCAUUCUCCCUCCCUUUGAAACUACUUUUGUUCAUUUAGCAAAUGCAUCUAAAGUGGCCGAGUAGAAAAACACUUUUAAAUAUCUCUUUAAAGAACUAGUAUUAUACUAUAAAAUGUUCUUCAUAAAGAACGAUUCUGAAAUGUUUUACAUGCUCUAUACAAGUUCAGAUAAGGACACUUACUGAACACUUCAUGGGAAAAUUGAUGGAUUUGUAUUGCCUUGAACACAAAGGAGGAAGAUUCUGAUGGCUUUUAAAUCACAUUUUGUUUAGAUGAGGAAGAAUGAAAGCUACAGUUUAUUUCUUCCAUGGAGCAUGGAGGAUGUGUGGGUCAAAUUAUCUCAGUUCUGAUUCCUAUUUUAUCUUUGAUCUCCAGAGACAUCACUGCUAUACAUUGUCCUCUGGUCUUGCUAAAAUGCAGCUUAUACUGUUUCAUGAUAAUAUGUUCAAUGCAAUUGUUUCUGAGCCUGAAUACCACCACAGAUGCUUAUUUACCUGCAAAGGAUUUAGAAUAGAUCUACAGUGUAGUAUAUUAUUGUACCCAGCACUUAUACAAUGUUAUGUAGGUUGUUCUGAAAAUAAUGCCUCCUAUUUAUUUCCAUGGAAACUGCCACAGAUACAAAGAAGUACAAUAACGCCAAUGUUUGGUAGAGAAAAUUUUCAGCUGUAAAAUGCUAUUUUGUCACUUCACAGCUGCUGUGGUGAUGUUGUUGCUAGGGCAUGCUUCCCAUGCUGUUCAUCUUUCACUGACCUAAACAAAUGAAAGCCAGAAAGUGCCAAAUCUGGACUAUACAGUGGUAGGACUGACCAUCCAAGAUUGGCAAAGCACUCCACAGUCUUCAAACUGGUAUGGGGUCUGGUCUUUCCCUGUUGCAUUAGAAGAGCUGCCUUCUUCUCUAGCUUAACUCUAAUUGUUUGAGUCUUCAGCCUAGUCAAUAUUUGUCUGGGUUGUAGGAAAUCCAGAAAGAUCACCCCUUUCCUAUCCCUAAAGACUGUACACAUCAUUUUACUCACUAAGGCUUGAACUUUUUCUUCAUUGUUGAAUUCACAUGUCACCACUCCAUGGGCAGACAUUUUGAUUCCUGCUUGUAGUUGUGACAUCAUGUUUCAUCACUGAUAAUAAUAUGAUUGAGAAACCUGUCACCUUCUGUCUCAUUUUGGUUCAGUAGUUCCUGACAAAUUUGCAUAUAGUGUUCUUUCUCUUCCUGUGUGAGCUUUUAUGGGACAAACCUGGCAAAAAUUUUGCAAUAUUCCAAUGUCACCACCAUCUUUUUCUAAUGCAUUUAGGCUGAUAUUCAGUUCUGUACAUAGAUCCUUGAUACUGAUUACAUAGAUGAGCUGAUCAAGAUGCUCUUCAUUUUGCAGUGUGACAGCUGUUCAUGACAGUCCGAAACACAGCUUGUCGUUCGUAUUGCUUUUAUCCCUGCUGAAAUACAACACCUGUCACCUCACUGUGCUCAAAUUCACGGUUUGUUCUCAAUAAACAUAAAGCAAGCAUCAAUGAGUGUCAGUGGGUGUGUUUUUUUUUCCAGAUGGAGGAAUUCCGUUACAGUCCUUUGCUCCAUACACACUUCCAUGUUGGAUGUCAUCAUGUCAGACUGCUCCUAUGCUGCCAUCUGUUGCACGGCAACAAUAUGUAACAGAGUAUUGGUAGGAAGCUUCAACCUUUACUGCCAUACCAUCAACAUCCACUUCUGACAUUGUGACGUAAUAAAACAGGAGGCAUUACUUUUGGAGCAGAAUGUUUAGGUCACUGAGGAUGCACAGUUAAGCAUUCAUAAUGGCUCCUACUAGAUCUAAAAGAGCUAGCAGCAGUCUACCAAAAAAAGUACAGAAUUGAGAGCUCUGCAAAUGAUUAUUGGACUGUUGAGUUUAAACCAGCUCAGGAAGACACCUGAGUGGCUGGGCCAGUAGAAGUAGAUCUUGGCAGAAGAGAGAAUUUUUCUCAUGCACCUGUCAGAAGCUGGAAACAACAGUUUCAAGAUGCUGGACCUGGAAAUGCAGGCUCGAGAUGAAUUAGAAACUCAGAUGAGGGAAUAGCUUAUUGAUAUUAACAAAUUAAAUACUGCAACAUUAAUGACA
Non-coding RNA from Meleagris gallopavo (turkey), 4267 nucleotides. The record is from RefSeq and is a predicted model, not a curated record. NCBI's taxonomy places the organism in Eukaryota, Metazoa, Chordata, Aves, Galliformes, Phasianidae.